UACGUAGGGAGCAAGCGUUGUCCGGAAUCAUUUGGCGUAAAGCGCGCGUAGGUGGCCCUGUAAGUCCGUUGUGAAAGUCAAAGGCUCAACCUUUGAAAGCCGAUGGAUACUGCAGGGCUAGAGUACGGAAGAGGCGAGUGGAAUUCCUGGUGUAGCGGUGGAAUGCGCAGAUAUCAGGAGGAACACCAAUAGCGAAGGCAGCUCGCUGGGACGUUACUGACACUGAGGCGCGAAAGCGUGGGGAGCGAACAGG
Molecule: ribosomal RNA, 253 nt
Filed under: uncultured bacterium
Lineage: Bacteria
Description: partial 16S ribosomal RNA
Rfam family: Bacterial small subunit ribosomal RNA
Source: RNAcentral